AAGACUUUGAGGUAAGAGACGAUACUGUUAACAGUCAGUACGAGCUCGUGCUAAUCUUAAAAGUGAAAACUUAUGAACUCGACUUUUGAACUAGAUCCAGGCGAUCUGCCUGAUAAAAACAAAGGUAUGAAAAACGAUCACCAGAAAAACAGCAGACGAAGAGAUAGUGACAGCGAAGAUUACCCAUACUCCAAACAAGCCCGCAACGAAGAAACCGGCAGACAGAACACGGAACCACAACUUCACGCAUCAGAAACGCAAGUGCUGAUCUCUCAUCAACUAAGAAGUACUACAUAUUAAGACACACCAAAAUAUUCCUAAGGAAAACAAAACUAACAGAGAUAAUAUAAGAAAAGGGAAAGAAGAAAAAUAGAUCCAGGGGAUAUAGACUAUACAAGAGUCUAAAACCCUAUAAAAGAAGAAAGAAGAAGAAGAAG
This is a long non-coding RNA of Penaeus monodon (black tiger shrimp), 437 nucleotides long. RefSeq lists it as uncharacterized. NCBI's taxonomy places the organism in Eukaryota, Metazoa, Arthropoda, Malacostraca, Decapoda, Penaeidae. The transcript is spliced from 2 exons. The record is from RefSeq and is a predicted model, not a curated record.